GACGAACGCGGGCGGCGUGCCUAAUACAUGCCAGUUGAGCGCUGAAGGUUGGUGCUUUUACCUACUGGAUGAGCAGCGAACGGGUGAGUAACGCGUGGGGAAUCUGCCUUUGAGCGGGGGACAACAUUUGGAAACGAAUGCUAAUACCGCAUAAAAACUUUAAACACAAGUUUUAAGUUUGAAAGAUGCAAUUGCAUCACUCAAAGAUGAUCCCGCGUUGUAUUAGCUAGUUGGUGAGGUAAAGGCUCACCAAGGCGAUGAUACAUAGCCGACCUGAGAGGGUGAUCGGACACAUUGGGACUGAGACACGGCCCAACAUCCUACGGGAGGCAGCAGUAGGGAAUCUUCGGCAAUGGAAGAAAGUCUGACCGAGCAACGACGCGUGAGUGAAGAAGGGUUUCGGAUCGGAAAACUCUGUUGGUAGAGAAGAACGUUGGUGAGAGUGGAAAGCGCAUCCAGUGACGGUAACUACACAGAAAGGGACGGCUAACUACGUG
RNAcentral lists this ribosomal RNA (497 nucleotides) under uncultured bacterium. RNAcentral's name for it is "partial 16S ribosomal RNA". It matches the Rfam family "Bacterial small subunit ribosomal RNA", at positions 28 to 507 of the family's 1533-position model. The record is from RNAcentral.